Molecule: transfer RNA, 62 nt
Filed under: Bolivaritettix lativertex
Lineage: Eukaryota; Metazoa; Arthropoda; Insecta; Orthoptera; Tetrigidae
Description: tRNA-Cys
Source: RNAcentral
GGAUUUAUAUUCAAUAUUGAUUUUAAAUUGCAAGUUUAAAGGUGUAAUUAUUACUAAGUCCU